RNAcentral lists this ribosomal RNA (253 nucleotides) under uncultured bacterium. Its description in RNAcentral is "partial 16S ribosomal RNA". It matches the Rfam family "Bacterial small subunit ribosomal RNA", at positions 524 to 776 of the family's 1533-position model. The record is from RNAcentral.
UACGGAGGGUGCAAGCGUUAUCCGGAUUCACUGGGUUUAAAGGGUGCGUAGGUGGAUAAGUAAGUCAGUGGUGAAAUCUUCGGGCUUAACCCGGAAACUGCCAUUGAUACUAUUUGUCUUGAAUACUUUGGAGGUAAGCGGAAUAUGUCAUGUAGCGGUGAAAUGCUUAGAUAUGACAUAGAACACCAAUUGCGAAGGCAGCUUACUACACAGUAAUUAACACUGAGGCACGAAAGCGUGGGGAUCAAACAGG